AUUGAACGCUGGCGGCAGGCCUAACACAUGCAAGUCGAGCGGAUGAAGGGAGCUUGCUCCUGGAUUCAGCGGCGGACGGGUGAGUAAUGCCUAGGAAUCUGCCUGGUAGUGGGGGAUAACGUCCGGAAACGGGCGCUAAUACCGCAUACGUCCUGAGGGAGAAAGUGGGUGAUCUUCGGACCUCACGCUAUCAGAUGAGCCUAGGUCGGAUUAGCUAGUUGGUGGGGUAAAGGCCUACCAAGGCGACGAUCCGUAACUGGUCUGAGAGGAUGAUCAGUCACACGGGAACUGAGACACGGUCCAGACUCCUACGGGAGGCAGCAGUGGGGAAUAUUGGACAAUGGGCGAAAGCCUGAUCCAGCCAUGCCGCGUGUGUGAAGAAGGUCUUCGGAUUGUAAAGCACUUUAAGUUGGGAGGAAGGGCAGUAAGUUAAUACCUUGCUGUUUUGACGUUACCAACAGAAUAAGCACCGGCUAACUUCGUG
RNAcentral lists this ribosomal RNA (484 nucleotides) under uncultured bacterium. Its description in RNAcentral is "partial 16S ribosomal RNA". It matches the Rfam family "Bacterial small subunit ribosomal RNA", at positions 30 to 507 of the family's 1533-position model. The record is from RNAcentral.